RNAcentral lists this ribosomal RNA (459 nucleotides) under Streptococcus parasanguinis. Its description in RNAcentral is "bacterial SSU rRNA". It matches the Rfam family "Bacterial small subunit ribosomal RNA", at positions 28 to 471 of the family's 1533-position model. The record is from RNAcentral. Lineage: Bacteria; Bacillati; Bacillota; Bacilli; Lactobacillales; Streptococcaceae.
GAUGAACGCUGGCGGCGUGCCUAAUACAUGCAAGUAGAACGCUGAAGCUUGGUGCUUGCACCGAGCGGAUGAGUUGCGAACGGGUGAGUAACGCGUAGGUAACCUGCCUCUUAGCGGGGGAUAACUAUUGGAAACGAUAGCUAAUACCGCAUAAAAGUCGAUAUCGCAUGAUGUUGAUUUGAAAGGUGCAAUUGCAUCACUAAGAGAUGGACCUGCGUUGUAUUAGCUAGUUGGUGAGGUAACGGCUCACCAAGGCGACGAUACAUAGCCGACCUGAGAGGGUGAUCGGCCACACUGGGACUGAGACACGGCCCAGACUCCUACGGGAGGCAGCAGUAGGGAAUCUUCGGCAAUGGGGGCAACCCUGACCGAGCAACGCCGCGUGAGUGAAGAAGGUUUUCGGAUCGUAAAGCUCUGUUGUAAGAGAAGAACGAGUGUGAGAGUGGAAAGUUCACACUG